UACAGAGGGGGCAAGCGUUGUCCGGAUUUACUGGGCGUACAGCGCGCGCAGGCGGACCUGGACGUGCCGUGUGACAAGCCACCGCUCACCGGUGGAGGGCCACGGUACACGACAGGUCUGGAGGCAGGGAGAGGGAUGUGGAAUGCCCGGUGGAGCGGUGAAAUGCGUAGAGAUCGGGCGGAACACCAGCGGCGAAGGCGGCAUCCUGGUCCUGUUCUGACGCUGAGGCGCGAGAGCGUGGGGAGCGAACUGGAUUAGAUACCCAGGUAGUCCACGCCGUAAACGAUGUGUACCCGGCGCUGGGAAGUGAUUGCGCUUCUCGGUGCCUCAGCUUACGCAGUGAGUACACCGCCUGGGGACUACGGCCGCAAGGCUAAA
This 378-nucleotide ribosomal RNA is filed under the name uncultured bacterium. Its description in RNAcentral is "bacterial SSU rRNA". It matches the Rfam family "Bacterial small subunit ribosomal RNA", at positions 524 to 898 of the family's 1533-position model. The record is from RNAcentral.